UCAUCCGGAGCUCCAAGUUGUAGAGCGACGGACUGUUAAUCCGCAGGUCCCUGGUUCGAGUCCAGGUCGGGGAG
Molecule: transfer RNA, 74 nt
Filed under: Sphaerotilus natans
Lineage: Bacteria; Pseudomonadati; Pseudomonadota; Betaproteobacteria; Burkholderiales; Sphaerotilaceae
Description: tRNA_Asn_GTT
Rfam family: tRNA
About the family: Transfer RNA (tRNA) molecules are approximately 80 nucleotides in length. Their secondary structure includes four short double-helical elements and three loops (D, anti-codon, and T loops).
Source: RNAcentral